AGUAUAGCUCAAUUGGCAGAGCUACUGAUUUGUAAUCAGUGGGUUAUGGGUUCAAGUCCCUUUACU
This 66-nucleotide transfer RNA is filed under the name Compsopogon caeruleus. It matches the Rfam family "tRNA". From Rfam's summary of the family: Transfer RNA (tRNA) molecules are approximately 80 nucleotides in length. Lineage: Eukaryota; Rhodophyta; Compsopogonophyceae; Compsopogonales; Compsopogonaceae. The record is from RNAcentral.